RNAcentral lists this unclassified non-coding RNA (241 nucleotides) under Hevea brasiliensis (rubber tree). The record is from RNAcentral. Lineage: Eukaryota; Viridiplantae; Streptophyta; Magnoliopsida; Malpighiales; Euphorbiaceae.
AAUACAUAAAAAUAGUUCUUCAGACGUUGAGGGAGCAUCAGUUAUAUGCCAAAUUCUCCAAGUGUAAGUUCUGGCUAAGGAGUAUAUCCUUAUUGGGGCAUAUAGUGACAGAGAAUGGAAUCAAAACGGAUCAAAGUGGAAACAGUAGCGGAUUGGCCAAGGCCUAGACAUCAAGAGUUUUCUACGUUUGGCUAACUAUUAUAAGAGAUUUGUUCUUGAUUUCUCCAAGAUAGCUGCUCCA